AACGAACGCUGGCGGCAUGCCUAACACAUGCAAGUCGAACGAGACCUUCGGGUCUAGUGGCGCACGGGUGCGUAACGCGUGGGAACCUGCCCUUAGGUUCGGAAUAACUCCCCGAAAGGGGUGCUAAUACCGGAUAAUGUCUUCGGACCAAAGAUUUAUCGCCUUUGGAUGGGCCCGCGUUGGAUUAGCAAGUUGGUAGGGUAAAAGCCUACCAAGGCGACGAUCCAUAGCUGGUCUGAGAGGAUGAUCAGCCACACUGGGACUGAGGCACGGCCCAGACUCCUACGGGAGGCAGCAGUGGGGAAUAUUGGACAAUGGGCGAAAGCCUGAUCCAGCAAUGCCGCGUGAGUGAUGAAGGCCUUAGGGUUGUAAAGCUCUUUUACCCGGGAUGAUAAUGACAGUACCGGGAGAAUAAGCGCCGGCUAACUCCGUG
RNAcentral lists this ribosomal RNA (433 nucleotides) under uncultured bacterium. RNAcentral's name for it is "partial 16S ribosomal RNA". It matches the Rfam family "Bacterial small subunit ribosomal RNA", at positions 29 to 507 of the family's 1533-position model. The record is from RNAcentral.